GAUUUCGGUUAGCUUGUACGGGUAUUACUUUUGGGUUAUUCGGUUAAACCGAAUAACCGAAUAACACUUUACUAAAUUGAAGAUACGUUGCGUCUCAGACUCUCACUCUCUCAAGUCUCAGCCGUCCAUUUAAUUUAGACUACUGCAGUGAGUGCUCGGUCCUUCACUCCUUCUCCACUCCAGUUCUCCUUCACGUCCUUACUUAGUUACUCUUUACCUUAGACUCGAACUCUCAGACCUCAGUAUUCUCUCUGUCUCUCAGUCCUCACCUCAGAUCAGAUCUCUGAUCUCUCUCAUCUCAAGACUCAAGUCUCGACUGUCUCGUCGUCUUCUCGAACUCUCAGUCUCAGAGUCUCAGAUCUGAGAUCUCUCAAGCCUCAAGUGUCGAACUCUCGAACUCUCGACGCCGGCGACCCUUCAUCGUUCAUCGCGAACUCUUAGAUCUCGGCGCCGGCGACAACUUUCUAUUUGUUAAGGUAAUUUUUUUAUUUACCUUUACUAAAUUCUCGAAGACCGAUUGCUUUUUAGUGCAUCUUUUUAGUGUAAUUAUUUUUAUGUAAUUGUGUCUGUUGCAUGUGUAAUUUCUGAGGUUUUGAAAAGAACUGAUUUGGCUUUAAUUUUGCUCUAUUUUGAUGGGUACCCAUUUCAUUGUUCUUACAAAAUAAGAUGUAGUAAUAUGCUAAUGUUUGUAUAUGUAAAUUUAAGAAUUUUGGGUAAUCGGGUAAUUCUAAAUUUGUUUGUUGAAAUCCUCAAUUUGUAAAAAAAAUUCAAAAACUGAUGUGGGUUUUUUGUUACUAGUUAUUUGGUCAUGAGAAUGCAUUCAUUGAGUUGCCUCGAAAUUGUUCAGUGGAUGUUGUCCAGUAUUUUGUAUAUAUGAAUAUCUGGUUACUUUUUAGAACCUAGGGAUUUGUAUGAACUGAGUUACUAAAUGAGCAAUGUGGGAUGAUAUAAACAGAGAGAGUACUAAUUGGUUAAUAUAUGACUGCAAGUUUAAUCUAUGCCUGUGAUUUGAUCCAUUAAUUGGUUAAGAGACCAAACAAACUAUAAUAUAUAUAUAUAUAUAUAUAUAUAUAUAUAUAUCCUGUUUAUGUUUAUUUUGGUGCUGCAAGUUUAAUUUUGGUCCUGUUAUGUUAUGCAAGUUCAAUUUUAUAUCAUAGUUACAUCCCCCUAGUCCCACUACUUGUUGUAAUUUGAUUCUUAAUUUGCUUGGCCUUAAUGUGGUGAAUGCUGCUACAAGUUUCAUAUCAACCUAAGUUUUCUUUUAGGGUCUUGGAUACCACUAUAUCCAGCUGGUUUAUAAUUUUUUGUAUUGUGUGUUGAUUAAAGUAAAGAAUUCUUCUUUUUGUACUAGUUGUGACUGUGAUAACUAAGAAGUCAGGUUAGCAGCAGUUGUUGCCAUAUGCUAAUGUGUUGGCUAAAAUAAUACUAUAUAUCUCUUGGAAUCGAGUUUGAAUCUUUCUUUGUUUUCUUUCCAGUAUAGCAGUAAAGACAAACUCANNNNNNNNNNNNNNNNNNNNNNNNNNNNNNNNNNNNNNNNNNNNNNNNNNNNNNNNNNNNNNNNNNNNNNNNNNNNNNNNNNNNNNNNNNNNNNNNNNNNGCCCACUCUCUGAACAAACAAAGCACACUUGACACUAGUCACACUACACUACUACAGAUCUACUUUACUCCCUCAGAUCUCGAACUCUCUCAGAUCCAGACGACCAGACGCCCAGACCCAUAUCUCGAUUUCUAUCAUUGGUCGACGCCGGCGGCCAAUCGGCCAUCGCCUCGGUCCUUCAUCUCGAUCUCUCAAUCUCUCAAGUCUCAAGAGUCAAGCAAGUCUCAUCCCGUCAUUCGGUUACCGGUACGAAUUUUCCUUUAACUUUGAUUCUUUGACUGUGAUAAUAGACUUGGACAUUAAUUGGUUUAAUCUAUGCCUGUGAUUUGAUCCAUUAAUUGGUUAAUAUAUAUGACUGCAAGUUUAAUCUAUGCCUGUGAUUUGAUCCAUUAAUCGGUUAAGAGACCAAACAAACUAUAUAUAAUAUAUAUAUAUAUAUAUAUAUAUAUAUAUAUCCUGUUUAUGUUUAUUUUGGUGCUGCAAGUUUAAUUUUGGUCCUGUUAUGUUAUGCAAGUUCAAUUUUAUAUCAUAGUUACAUCCCCCUAGUCCCACUACUUGUUGUAAUUUGAUUCUUAAUUUGCUUGGCCUUAAUGUGGUGAAUGCUGCUACAAGUUUCAUAUCAACCUAAGUUUUCUUUUAGGGUCUUGGAUACCACUAUAUCCAGCUGGUUUAUAAUUUUUUGUAUUGUGUGUUGAUUAAAGUAAAGAAUUCUUCUUUUUGUACUAGUUGUGACUGUGAUAACUAAGAAGUCAGGUUAGCAGCAGUUGUUGCCAUAUGCUAAUGUGUUGGCUAAAAUAAUACUAUAUAUCUCUUGGAAUCGAGUUUGAAUCUUUCUUUGUUUUCUUUCCAGUAUAGCAGUAAAGACAAACUCAACAACAACAAACUCAACAGCAGCAGCAGCAGCAAAUGCUCAACAGCAGGAACACUUUGCUCAACACUCAACAACAGCAUUAUGUUUAUGGAUUAUGUUUAUGGUGUUAAUUGUUAAACUGUUAAUCAUGUAGGAACAUUAUGUUUCAUGUUUGUGUAAUAUGUAGUUGACUGUCAUUCAUGUUUGCUGGCUUGCUGCUGAUUGAGUCUUUUGUAAUAUGUAGGCUACAUAAUGUAGUUGAAUAGUACCUGUUCAAUUCACUGGACUGCAGCACUGCUGCUAAUUGUCUUUUAAAUUUGGUUAUUAACCGAAUAACGUAUUCGGUUAUUCGGUUAUUUCAUAUUUCGGUUAGUUGUUCGGAUAGCUAAAACAGGGUAGUUUCGGUUUUCGGAUAUAACCGAAAUCCUUAUUCGGUUCAGUUAUUAUCCGAAUGCUCACCCCUAAUGCUCCCCCGGGCAGGCUUACCACACUUUGCGCGGGUUACAUUUUCGGUAGAAUGAAACCCUAAAAAUAAAAAGAAAAAAGUUUGCCAGGCCAAUCCCACCCAAUAAUUUUAUAAUUUGGAGGAUUCGAGUUAUAUAGGCAGUGCUGGG
RNAcentral lists this long non-coding RNA (3061 nucleotides) under Panax ginseng (ginseng). RNAcentral's name for it is "long non-coding RNA (PGIN_LNC010072)". The record is from RNAcentral. Lineage: Eukaryota; Viridiplantae; Streptophyta; Magnoliopsida; Apiales; Araliaceae.